This 1076-nucleotide long non-coding RNA is filed under the name Homo sapiens (human). RNAcentral describes it as "HSALNT0309835". Lineage: Eukaryota; Metazoa; Chordata; Mammalia; Primates; Hominidae. The record is from RNAcentral.
AGCUGUUCUUCCCCUCUGCUGACUUUAUGUGGAGUAAAGGGCUACUCCAGCUGAGGAAAAAUGCCAAUAAAGGAGAUGAAAACAGCCAGAAAUUGUAUAUACUUAUCAUGUACAACAUGAUGCCCUGAAAUAUGUCUACACUACGGGAUGGCCAAAUUGAGGCAAUUAACAUAUGCAAGACCUCACAAACUUCAAAUUUUUUGUGGUGAGAACACUUAAAAUCCACAAAAAUUAGUAAUGUUCAGAAAUACGCCCAGACAGACGUCAACAUGGCUGCAGCUGAGAUGCAGGGCCACAACAAGAUACCCUUGUUCAUGAGACUGAUCUUAAGAAGACAGAUUCACUUGAGAGGAGAUGACCCUGUGGUACUCUGUUGCUGAUAUCCCAAAGAAAAAUCUGUUUGUUGUCACAUAAUAGUAACGUGGCAUAAACUAUCCGUUUAAUAAUUACUCAGCUUUAAGAUUAAGACUAAGACUUAUAUUUAAGACUUUAACACUAAAUUUAAGACUAAGACUUAAGUUUAAGACUUUAAGUUUAUUACUAAGCUUAUGAAAACUUAAAAAGACCUUAAUAAAGCCAGGAAUAGUGGCGCACACCUAUAAUCUCAGCUACUCAGGAGACUGAGGUGGGAGGAUCACUUGAGAAUAGCAGUUUGAAACCAGCCUGGGCAACAUAGUGAGACUCUAUCUCUAAAGAAAUGUAAAAAAAUACAUUAAUAGAAUACCGGCAGGUAACCCCAUUGUUGUGACUGUCGGUUAACCUCGGUGUCAAAGCCUGUCAAUCCCAGCUACUCGGGAGGCUGAGGCUGUUUCACAUAAAUUUUGACUAAUGAAAAUUACAUUUGUUUUGCUUUGUGCGCUUAUAAACAAGUAUUAAAGAGGCAAGAACACACAGGCUAGACUAGGAACACGGCAAGGCCAUGAACAGUCCUUGGCGCACCAUGUUCUGUGGUCCCAGGAACCUGGUGCCAACCUCUGCCCAUCCCUGCUCCUGCCAGCGAAACCUCCCAGAUACCCAGAGGAAAGUGGCAAAGUAAACAACCAAGAAUCUGUGGGGGACUCAGCUUAUUGUGCCAU